Molecule: long non-coding RNA, 274 nt
Filed under: Triticum aestivum (bread wheat)
Lineage: Eukaryota; Viridiplantae; Streptophyta; Magnoliopsida; Poales; Poaceae
Description: long non-coding RNA (TAES_LNC012996)
Source: RNAcentral
CUACUGCGACAACAACUGCAGCCGGCUCUUGUGGAUUCAUCCUCCACAGCGCCACAUUAGCACGGAUGCAGAAGAAGGUGACGAGUAGGAGCAUGCCCAACAGAGCCGCGGUGCGGAGAAGGUAAGAAACCUCUGGAAAUCCAUACAUUUGAAGAACGACCCCGAUGAGUUGCGCCAACAUCGCCACACUGAACAACGCUACAGCCGCCCACCAGAGUAGCGGCCACCAACGAACGCGAUCUUCCACAUCAUCCUUGACCUAUCGCAUUUGACA